Phrynosoma platyrhinos (Desert horned lizard) is the source of this 70-nucleotide non-coding RNA. The record is from the annotation of a GenBank genome assembly. NCBI's taxonomy places the organism in Eukaryota, Metazoa, Chordata, Lepidosauria, Squamata, Phrynosomatidae.
GCCAGUGUGGCAUAGUGGUUGAGUUUUGGACUAUAAAUGUGGAGACCAGGGAUUGAUUCCCUGCUUGGCC